Molecule: non-coding RNA, 674 nt
Organism: Cicer arietinum (chickpea)
Lineage: Eukaryota; Viridiplantae; Streptophyta; Magnoliopsida; Fabales; Fabaceae
Source: RefSeq, a predicted model, not a curated record
ACCCUCUAACACUUUAAAGUUUGUGUUGUGAUUUUGUCUUAGAAAAAAAAUGAAAAUUAUAGCAUGUGUUGUUUUGGUGAUGUGCAUGGUAGUUGCAGCAGCACCUAUGGCAGAAGGUGCAAUCACAUGUUCAAGUGUAAUUGGUGCUCUUGAUACAUGCACUAGUUAGUAGUUAUCUUCAAGGUGAUUCUGGUCCUUCGGAUGAUUGUUGUUAUGGAGUGCAUGAAGUUAUGGAUUCAGCUGGCAGCAUCAUUGUCCAUUGAUCAGAGGAAUAUUUGUUACUGCUUUUCAUAUGGGAUAUUUCUAUUAAUGCUCCUAGUUUUGACGUACCAAGCAAAUGCCGAUGAUCUUCUUUUCAACUGUGGUGUUACAAAGCCCUACAAGAUUAGUCCCAAUACCAACUGUGCUAGCAUUCCGUAAGAUUUUACAGAUGAGAAUAAUGGAAACUUCUCAUUAGUAAAUGAGAAUGCCAAGUAUUGCUCUAUUAAGGAAUAAGAGUGUUUGUACCCAAAAAUAUUCAUAAAAAUGAGAGUGAUGGAGGCUCAUGUUAAAUAGGGCCCUAUUUUCUUAUUUUAAUUUCAGUUUCUGAAUAAUCGUCACAUUAUCUGUUGAAAAACAAACGAAUAAUAUGUUGUACUUUUCUAUAAAUAAAGCAAAAAGGUUAGGUUGUAUUA